This 506-nucleotide ribosomal RNA is filed under the name uncultured bacterium. RNAcentral's name for it is "partial 16S ribosomal RNA". It matches the Rfam family "Bacterial small subunit ribosomal RNA", at positions 29 to 523 of the family's 1533-position model. The record is from RNAcentral.
AGUGAACGCUGGCGGUAGGCCUAACACAUGCAAGUCGAACGGCAGCACAGGAGAGCUUGCUCUCUGGGUGGCGAGUGGCGGACGGGUGAGGAAUACAUCGGAAUCUACUCUGUCGUGGGGGAUAACGUAGGGAAACUUACGCUAAUACCGCAUACGACCUACGGGUGAAAGCAGGGGACCUUCGGGCCUUGCGCGAUUGAAUGAGCCGAUGUCGGAUUAGCUAGUUGGCGGGGUAAAGGCCCACCAAGGCGACGAUCCGUAGCUGGUCUGAGAGGAUGAUCAGCCACACUUGAAAUGACACACGGUCCAGACUCCUACGGGAGGCAGCAGUGGGGAAUAUUGGACAAUGGGCGCAAGCCUGAUCCAGCCAUACCGCGUGGGUGAAGAAGGCCUUCGGGUUGUAAAGCCCUUUUGUUGGGAAAAAAAUCCAGCUGGCUAAUACCCGGUUGGGAUGACGGUACCCAAAGAAUAAGCACCGGCUAACUUCGUGCCAGCAGCCGCCGCAG